GAAACUAUUGGCCAAGGCUCUCUUGCCUUCUUUACCACUGCACUUUCUGCCCUAGGGAGUGUAAAACUGCUAUUGGAGCCCUGAGGGUUAGGUCGUGCACCAGCCACUGCGAGAUGACGUAAUGCUUUCUGUGGUACACAAAGCGGCCUCCCCAAAGCUGGGCCUCUCACGCCCCACCCCCAAGCCAGGAAUGCUGCCCCCGCAGGCACCAGCUCGGAUGCUCCUGGGAUGCUCUGAGCUAAGGAUGCAGGUGCAGUCGGACUGGUCCUGAUGCGAGUUAAGCUCCGCCUCUUUCCGAAGGGCCCUCGGCAGAAGACUCCGCCUCUGCCCGAAAGGCUCCGGAAACUCUUCCAGAGGAGACCCCUCCCACCGCCGAGUUUUCCUCAGGAUGAGGCUCCGCCCACUCACAGGCUGUGGGCGUUGGGGCUUGAAUUUCAAAGCCCAGUAAGAAGUGUAGGUGUUGUGCUUCUUCAGUCGCAUAUUCCCGUGACUGUAGCACUCGAGUGGGUGAGGUAGGAGAGUCAAGGGCAGCCUUGGCUAAUUCUCCAAAUACAGAAAGGCAAGAAGACGAUCGCUUUAGCGUCUUCUGCAGCUGUGACUCUAGUUCCCCGGGUUUAUACAGAUGGAAGCCGAACCUACUGAAUUGCAGAAGUUGUGAAGAACAAAAUUCUAUUGUUUCACUAUAGAUUGUUAUUGUUAUGUGCAUCUCUGAAACAAUAAAGGCAAUUAUGUCAACUAAA
This is a long non-coding RNA of Mesocricetus auratus (golden hamster), 740 nucleotides long. RefSeq lists it as uncharacterized. The record is from RefSeq and is a predicted model, not a curated record. The transcript has 2 exons. NCBI's taxonomy places the organism in Eukaryota, Metazoa, Chordata, Mammalia, Rodentia, Cricetidae.